AAGAAACAGAAACAGAAACAGAAG
Molecule: small RNA, 24 nt
Filed under: Arabidopsis thaliana (thale cress)
Lineage: Eukaryota; Viridiplantae; Streptophyta; Magnoliopsida; Brassicales; Brassicaceae
Description: ATSL016860
Source: RNAcentral